RNAcentral lists this transfer RNA (74 nucleotides) under Zootermopsis nevadensis. It matches the Rfam family "tRNA". Rfam says of the family: Transfer RNA (tRNA) molecules are approximately 80 nucleotides in length. Their secondary structure includes four short double-helical elements and three loops (D, anti-codon, and T loops). Further hydrogen bonds mediate the characteristic L-shaped molecular structure. tRNAs have two regions of fundamental functional importance: the anti-codon, which is responsible for specific mRNA codon recognition, and the 3' end, to which the tRNAs corresponding amino acid is attached (by aminoacyl-tRNA synthetases). tRNAs cope with the degeneracy of the genetic code in two manners: having more than one tRNA (with a specific anti-codon) for a particular amino acid; and 'wobble' base-pairing, i.e. permitting non-standard base-pairing at the 3rd anti-codon position. The record is from Rfam by way of RNAcentral. Lineage: Eukaryota; Metazoa; Arthropoda; Insecta; Blattodea; Termopsidae.
GCCACGGUGGUCUAGCGGUUAGAACGCUGGCCUUGUAAUCCUGAGGGUAUCGGGUUCGAUUCCCGGCGGUGCCC